Molecule: ribosomal RNA, 451 nt
Filed under: uncultured organism
Description: partial 16S ribosomal RNA
Rfam family: Bacterial small subunit ribosomal RNA
Source: RNAcentral
CGUACACUCCUACGGGAGGCAGCAGUGGGGAAUAUUGGACAAUGGGCGCAAGCCUGAUCCAGCCAUGCCGCGUGAGUGAUGAAGGCCCUAGGGUUGUAAAGCUCUUUCACCGGUGAAGAUAAUGACGGUAACCGGAGAAGAAGCCCCGGCUAACUUCGUGCCAGCAGCCGCGGUAAUACGAAGGGGGCUAGCGUUGUUCGGAUUUACUGGGCGUAAAGCGCACGUAGGCGGACUAUUAAGUCAGGGGUGAAAUCCCGGGGCUCAACCCCGGAACUGCCUUUGAUACUGGUAGUCUUGAGUUCGAGAGAGGGGAGUGGAAUUCCGAGUGUAGAGGUGAAAUUCGUAGAUAUUCGGAGGAACACCAGUGGCGAAGGCGGCUCACUGGCUCGAUACUGACGCUGAGGUGCGAAAGCGUGGGGAGCAAACAGGAUUAGAUACCCCAGUAGUCCCA